GACGAACGCUGGCGGCGUGCUUAACACAUGCAAGUCGAACGGAAAGGCCCUGCGCUUGUGGGGUGCUCGAGUGGCGAACGGGUGAGUAACACGUGAGUAACCUGCCCUUGACUUUGGGAUAACUUCAGGAAACUGGGGCUAAUACCGGAUAGGAGCUCCUGCUGCAUGGGGGGGGUUGGAAAGUUUCGGCGGUUGGGGAUGGACUCGCGGCUUAUCAGCUUGUUGGUGGGGUAGGGGCUUACCAAGGCUUUGACGGGUAGCCGGCCUGAGAGGGUGACCGGCCACCUUGGGACUGCGAUACGGCCCAGACUCCUACCGGCGGCAGCAGUGGGGAAUAUUGCACAAUGGGCGGAAGCCUGAUGCAGCAACGCCGCGUGCGGGAUGCCGGCCUUCGGGUUGUAAACCGCUUUCGCCUGUGACGAAGCGUGAGUGACGGUAAUGGGUAAAGAAGCACCGGCUAACUACGUG
This 468-nucleotide ribosomal RNA is filed under the name uncultured bacterium. RNAcentral describes it as "partial 16S ribosomal RNA". It matches the Rfam family "Bacterial small subunit ribosomal RNA", at positions 28 to 507 of the family's 1533-position model. The record is from RNAcentral.